Long non-coding RNA from Brienomyrus brachyistius, 2733 nucleotides. RefSeq lists it as uncharacterized. The transcript has 4 exons. Lineage: Eukaryota; Metazoa; Chordata; Actinopteri; Osteoglossiformes; Mormyridae. The record is from RefSeq and is a predicted model, not a curated record.
ACACUGUAAACCCUAAUGCUGUAACUAAUUGAUUGAACUGAGUUGUAUUAACUUAAAUAAUUACAAUUAGUUUAUAUUAAUUAACCUUUAUGAGUAUUUAGAACUUUUUCUUAUUUAUGAGUUUGUAAAAAUUAAACCUUUCAAGUAAGAUGGAAAAUUUUGCUGGUUUAAUUUAAACAAAAUGUCUCUUUAAAGUUUUAUUAACUCAAAAUCUUUCAGCCUUGUGAUUUUGCGUAUGACGUCAUCCAGGUUCACGUCAACUGUCUUGCCCGCGCUUAUUCCUCGUUCGUUUUUUUCAAGAUGGCGGAUCGGCCUCGCUUCACACUACAGUAAGUAAAAUAUUGAAAUAUACAAAUCCAAUGAAUCUUAAGCAAGUGUUUUAAUCCAUAUAAUCACAGUAACAUUUAAAAGUAAUGUAGAUGCGUUUAGAUGUGUUGCAUUACAGAGUACGCGUUUAGCCCUGUUUAAAUCUUGAGGCGAGGAAGCUCCUCAUCCCGCGCUGUAGCUUGUUGGUCAAUAAGAAACUUUUAACGUUAGUUCAGUGUUGGGAGCUGUUACUGACCAGCACAAUGUUUAUAAAUUCAGGUAAAAUUGAAAUUAAAACAUUUAUGCCGCACUUAUUUUUAAAACUGCGUUAUCCACAACAUGGAGUUUUAUUUUGAAAUACUUCGUUUGUGCGGCUUCUCAGCUGAAAGGUGUAAUAUUAUUUAUAUAAUAUUAAUUUCAAUGGCGGAUCGGACUCGUUACACGCUGUUCAGUAACGUUAGGUAGUUAAUGUAUAACUAGGGAUGUUCAUCUCGGUUAAUUUUCCCAACCGACAACCGCCGUUCGUUAACCGAACAUUAAUCAUUAACAUUAACAUUAACCGAAUCCUGAACGUUCUAAGAUGUGGCCUCGUGAUUUUCCAAUUCCACAGUUUUCCUAUGAUGUUGAGCUAAGGCUUAGACAGGGAAAUGAUGAAUUUGAGAAGAGCGGAAAGGGUCUAAAGUUGACAAGAGACCAAAAGCAUGACAUUCUGGAGAAGCUUGGCUCAACCAUGUAUGAUUUUAAGGCGUACCCAGACGACAAACAGAUAGGAAAAGUAGCAGAGGCCCUUGUCACAAAGCAUCCUUGUUUGAAGGAGCCAGGCUCUGACACAGGUUGGAAUGGGUGGAAAACCAGUUUAAAGUUCAAGAUGGGCAACUUGAGAAACAAAAUGAGGAAAAUUGGAUGUCUUGAGGUAACUGUUAAUGCUGGGAAAAGAAGUCAAGGCCAUCCUGAGAAUGAACCAUCACAUUCUAAAAUCAAGAAACCAAGACGUUCUGAGGUUAAUUAUUUGCCAAACUUUCCUCAAGGUGAGGAUGAAGCAUCUCUUGAAACAGUUAGACAGGAAAUUGCUGUUGAAGUCCAGAAGACAGAAAAAAAUACUAGUCUCAUCCACAAGAACAUGGAGAAAACUUUUGCUCUGCGACGACAGAACAUUGUUAGCGGAAGCCCAUCUGAAUGAGUUUCUGAAUCUCUGGCCUGCACUGCGUAUAACAUCUGAGCUGUUUGCAGAGUACCAACGUGUUACAAAUGAGAAUUUGCCCAACAAAUUCUAUGCACAACUGGACUACCUCCUACCUUGUUUGAUGACCAUUUUAAGGCAAAAAGCAUCCAAGACAGGCAAGACAGCAGAUGCCCUGGCUAAUCUUUUGAAAGUUCAUGAUGAGCAGGAACUGCAUGAUGUAAAUUCACGACGGACUACCGUUAUCAGAGGUCUUCCAGUUUUGCUGCAUGACAAAGACAUAGGAUUUUUUAGGACCACCCUGAUUGAUAAUCCUGAAGUACUGACUGAGGAUGCUCCAGUGUCCCUGCUUACAGUUGUUCAUGAAAAUGCUGCUGCUCCAAUCCAUUACGAUCCAGUGAGGGUCUCAGUUGUCCUGGAGAAUGAAGUGGUCACCACCCAUAGCCAACUUCCAGAGGCCUUUCUUGUCUUGUUUGGAUUCAUGUAUGCUCUUCACUUAAAAUAUCCUAAAGGACUUGCCAAAACUUUUGAAUUUGUGCAAAAAGUUUUACUCGGCAUGGAUGACGGAAAACUGUCUCCUAGCGUGCAAACAUUAAAGAAUGAGUUGAUGUAGAGCUACUUUUUUUUUCUCGUUUAAUGAAGGCUGGCACUGGGGCAGUAACUUAAAAACAUGUCAGUACGUGUAGUUUAAACUAUACAGGAGUCACUUACCAGAAUGCACUAUUUUUAUUUCUUUUUAUGAAUGCCGCAAGACUAAGUUUUAUAUGACUUAAUGUAUGUUUUAAAAAUCAGGAUAUUUAAUUUUGUCAAACUAAAUCAUUUUUUUUGAAGCUCAUGUUUAAACAAAGUUGGUCAUGUAAAAUUCUGUUAAAAAAUAUUUUACAAAAUAAUUCUUCAAAAAUAUUUUUUUGUUACAAGUCAUACUGGGUUUUAUGCAUUACUUUUUCCUGAAUGUUUUUUUCCCCUGAGAAUUUUCACCCUUUUAAAGGGUUACUUUACAGGUGUCAUGUUGAUUUGUUAUAUCAAAUAGAACACCAUAGAAAGUAUUGUUAUUCUUUUUCAUUGUAUUAACAUUCUGGGCAUACUUUAUUCAUUUUAAAAUAGUGUUUAUUGUAAAUCUGUUACUGACAAACUGUUUUAAAGGUUUUGAGAAAUUUGUAUGUUUAUAGAAGGCAUGUUUACUGUAAACAUUCAUGUUGGUAUUACCUGUUGGACAUUUUUUGUUUAAAAAUAAAUGUUAAAAAUGG